This 425-nucleotide ribosomal RNA is filed under the name Polybia ruficeps ruficeps. Its description in RNAcentral is "partial large subunit ribosomal RNA". Lineage: Eukaryota; Metazoa; Arthropoda; Insecta; Hymenoptera; Vespidae. The record is from RNAcentral.
GAUUGGCCUGUCUAUCAUUUUUAAAAGGCUGCGGUAUAUUAACUGUACAAAGGUAGCAAAAUAAAUAGUUUUUUAAUUGAAAACUUGAAUGAAAGAGUUAAUAAAAUAUAAAUUGUUUCAAAUAUAUAAUUUAAAUUAAAAGUAAAAAUGCUUUUAUUAUUUUAUUAGACGAUAAGACCCUAAGAAUUUGAUUAUUUUUUUUAUUUUGAAAAAUUUAUUUAAAUUAGAUUAUUUUAUUGGGAGGAUAAUAAAAUUAAACUUUUAUUUUAAAAAAUAUAUAUUAAUAAAUUUAAUGAUUAUUUUUAAGAUUAUUAGAAUAAAUUACCUUAGGGAUAACAGCGUUAUAAUUUUGGAGAGUUCAUAUUGAUAAAAUUGUUUGCGACCUCCAUGUUGAAUUAAAAUAAAAUUUAAAUGAUCUGAGUCAA